GAACGAUGAAGCCCUUCGGGGUGGAUUAGUGGCGAACGGGUGAGUAACACGUGGGCAAUCUGCCCUUCACUCUGGGACAAGCCCUGGAAACGGGGUCUAAUACCGGAUAACACUUCUUCGGGCAUCUGAAGAGGUUAAAAGCUCCGGCGGUGAAGGAUGAGCCCGCGGCCUAUCAGCUUGUUGGUGGGGUAAUGGCCUACCAAUGCGACGACGGUUAGCCGGCCUGAGAGGGCGACCGGCCACACUGGGACUGAGACACGGCCCAGACUCCUACGGGAGGCAGCAGUGGGGAAUAUUGCACAAUGGGCGAAAGCCUGAUGCAGCGACGCCGCGUGAGGGAUGACGGCCUUCGGGUUGUAAACCUCUUUCAGCAGGGAAGAAGCGAAAGUGACGGUACCUGCAGAAGAAGCGCCGGCUAACUACGUGCCAGCAGCCGCGGUAAUACGUAGGGCGCAAGCGUUGUCCGGAAUUAUUGGGCGUAAAGAGCUCGUAGGCGGCUUGUCACGUCGGAUGUGAAAGCCCGGGGCUUAACCCCGGGUCUGCAUUCGAUACGGGCAGGCUAGAGUGUGGUAGGGGAGAUCGGAAUUCCUGGUGUAGCGGUGAAAUGCGCAGAUAUCAGGAGGAACACCGGUGGCGAAGGCGGAUCUCUGGGCCAUUACUGACGCUGAGGAGCGAAAGCGUGGGG
RNAcentral lists this ribosomal RNA (685 nucleotides) under Streptomyces sp. SCAU5216. RNAcentral's name for it is "bacterial SSU rRNA". It matches the Rfam family "Bacterial small subunit ribosomal RNA", at positions 64 to 766 of the family's 1533-position model. The record is from RNAcentral. Lineage: Bacteria; Bacillati; Actinomycetota; Actinomycetes; Kitasatosporales; Streptomycetaceae.